CCUACGGGGGGCAGCAGUGAGGAAUAUUGGUCAAUGGUCGGGAGACUGAACCAGCCAAGCCGCGUGAGGGAUGAAGGUACAGAGUAUCGUAAACCUCUUUUGUCAGGGAACAAAGGCGGGGACGCGUCCCCGGAUGAGUGUACCUGAAGAAAAAGCAUCGGCUAACUCCGUGCCAGCAGCCGCGGUAAUACGGAGGAUGCGAGCGUUAUCCGGAUUUAUUGGGUUUAAAGGGUGCGCAGGCGGUCUGUUAAGUCAGCGGUAAAAGCCCGGGGCGCACCCCCGGCCCGCCGUUGAAACUGGCAGUCUCGAGUUGGAGAGAAGUAUGCGGAAUGCGCGGUGUAGCGGUGAAAUGCAUAGAUAUCGCGCAGAACUCCGAUUGCGAAGGCAGCAUGCCGGCUCCACACUGACGCUGAGGCACGAAAGCGUGGGUAUCGAACAGGAUUAGAUACCCUAGUAGUC
This 459-nucleotide ribosomal RNA is filed under the name uncultured bacterium. RNAcentral's name for it is "partial 16S ribosomal RNA". It matches the Rfam family "Bacterial small subunit ribosomal RNA", at positions 338 to 795 of the family's 1533-position model. The record is from RNAcentral.